UGCCCUAAUACCACUUGGAAACAGGUGCUAAUACCGGAUGACAACAAUAGCUGCAUGGCUAUUGCUUAAAAGGCGGCGAAAGCUGUCGCUAAAGGAUGGACCCGCGGUGCAUUAGCUAAUUGGUAAGGUAAUGGCUUACCAAGGCGACGAUGCAUAGCCGAGUUGAGAGACUGAUCGGCCACAUUGGGACUGAGACACGGCCCAAACUCCUACGGGAGGCAGCAGUAGGGAAUCUUCCACAAUGGGCGAAAGCCUGAUGGAGCAACGCCGCGUGAGUGAAGAAGGUUUUCGGAUCGUAAAGCUCUGUUGUUGGUGAAGAAGGAUAGAGGUAGUAACUGGCCCCUAUUUGACGGUAAUCAACCAGAAAGUCACGGCUAACUACGUGCCAGCAGCCGCGGUAAUACGUAGGUGGCAAGCGUUGUCCGGAUUUAUUGGGCGUAAAGCGAGCGCAGGCGGAAAGAUAAGUCUGAUGUGAAAGCCCCCGGCUUAACCGAGGAAUUGCAUCGGAAACUGUGUUUCUUGAGUGCAGAAGAGGAGAGUGGAACUCCAUGUGUAGCGGUGGAAUGCGUAGAUAUAUGGAAGAACACCAGUGGCGAAGGCGGCUCUCUGGUCUGUAACUGACGCUGAGGCUCGAAAGCAUGGGUAGCGAACAGGAUUAGAUACCCUGGUAGUCCAUGCCGUAAACGAUGAGUGCUAAGUG
This 700-nucleotide ribosomal RNA is filed under the name uncultured bacterium. Its description in RNAcentral is "bacterial SSU rRNA". It matches the Rfam family "Bacterial small subunit ribosomal RNA", at positions 135 to 822 of the family's 1533-position model. The record is from RNAcentral.